UUUGAGUUCAUUAGUAUCUUAAACCAUAGAUAUCUUUAAAUUUAUGAAAAGUUUACUGUGUUGAAAGUACAGCCCAUAUACUUAUGAUCUACCCAUAAAUAUCUCUAUCUCCUAUUUUACUGAUUUAUAUGCUUAAAAAUACAGGUCAUAUACUGAUGUUGUGGCUCCAAGAUCAAAACACCAUACAAAAUCCUUAUGAAAUAUUGUGGCUACUAUGCAUAAGGUAACAUCACCUUACUUGUAAAUUAUGUUAGACUUUGAAUGGAGUGUGAUCUGCCUGGUGAUCACGGAGAUGGCCUGCCUGGUGGUCAAUUAUGUGAUUAUUUUUUUAAAAUUUAAUGGAGUAGACCUGCCUGGUGGUCAAUUAUGUGAUUUUUUUUUCUAAAUUUAAUGGAGUAGACCUGCCCGGUGGUCAUUUGUUUAUGUUUGAUAACAUAAAUAUUAAACAUAGACACUGAAUGACAUUUAACGAAAAAAUAAAACUACAUCUGCAUUAAAUCAUAUGAUAUCAGCUUCAAAUACACAAGAAAUAGUAAUUAAAUUCACACUUCAAAAAAACAAAUUCAGUUUACAUUAAAUUAAUAUAAACUGAAGAGGUAAUUCAUAUAAGAUUAUAAUUUCUGUAUUUGAAAAAAAAAGAUCAUAUUUUUUAUAUGAUAUCCUAUAUUAGAUAUAAGACUUCUUAAUAACUUGAAUUGAAAAUAUUUUUAAUGAUAUAUUUAUUUUCAAAAACUUGAAAUGAGUUAAGAAAUUACUGAAUAGAUGUUUUUAAUUCCCUGUUACUAUCUAUUUAUGUAAUAACUCAACGUUAAUACAUUAUUUUCUUUGUUACUUUCGUUUUUCUUUUUCUCAAUAAAAUUUCAAUUCAGCAACUCAACGUUAAUACAUUAUAACAUCAGUUUGAUAACAUAAAUAUUUAAAAUACAAUAUCUGCAUUAAUUAUAGUAUCUCUGCAUGUAAAAUAUUGUCUCUGUUAAAAAAAUAUGUACAUUAAAUAUGAAACUUGUAAUAAUAAAAAAAAUACGAAUACAAUCCAAACUUCAAAUCUCAUAUUAAAAAUAAAUCUAUAGGUGCAUUAAAUAUCAAACUUUACAAAUAAUAUAAAAGCUGUAAUUAAUACUUUGGAAAAUAAGAUUCAUGGUCAAGAGAAAUUUGAUGUAAAUUGAAUAUGUAACUCAUAUAGGAUUGUACUUUCUAUCUAUUAAACCACAGUAAAUAGAUAUAGUACAAAUUAUUAACUUUGACUUACACCAGUAAAGUAAAUUAGUAUAAGUUAAUAUUUAGUUAAGUUCAUAGGCCUGUAACAUAAAACUGAAAUAAUUAUAGCAUAUAUACAAUAUUAUAAUUCUUAGCAAAUUAUGUACUUUAGUUAAUGAUGCUGGUUAAACAUGAUUAUAAAUGUAUAGAAAUAACAUUUAAAACUAAAUCACAUUUACCAGAUAAAACUAAAUAGUUACUACCAACACAAACUGGCAAAUUCAUACAUAAGGUCAUGCAGAUUAAACAAAAUAAUUACUACCAACACAAACUGCUAGAUUCAUACAUAAGGUCAUCUAAAUCUAUUGACUGCAAAUUAUAUGAUGCUUACUCAAGUAAGCAUCAAUAUUUGCAAUCAAACCAAAACUAACAUAACAAAAGUACUGCAACAUAGAGUUUGUAAUAGAAAUAACAGUUAAGAUGACCAUUCCUACUUAGAACCUUAGACAGAUCAGUUCAAAAAACAAAAGGAUUUGCUUCGUCAAUUCUUUUCAAUCUUCACUUUCACAGCUCUCGCCUUCUUCUUCCUAUCAUUUUCUUCAUUUGUGAAAUCAUCCAACAGCUUCCUCUUCACAGAUUCAUGGCACUUAGGUUCCUUAAUAAUCUUCGAUGAUGCAUCACUCCCAGUCUGUGUAACCUUCUUUGGGGUGAUCAUCCCAUCUUCACAAUCCUAUUUCAGUAAACAAUAAAAAAUGUUAAAGUAACUAAACACUAAUUUAAAGUACAAAUAUUAAUAUUCAUAAAUCAUACAAUACCUUCCCAAAAACUGUAGCCAUUGAAACAUCAGUGUUAUGUGAUAAGGACUCACAAUCUUCCAAGUAACCUUUGUCAAACAAAUUCUCUGCAGAUGCAGACAUCCCACAAAUAUCAGCCUUAGUUAGCAGCUUCCUCUUCACUAAUUCAUGGCAAUUAGGUUCCUUAAUAAUCUUCAAUGAUGCAGCACUCUGGGUUAAUGUUUCACCCUUUGGGGUGAUCAUCCCAUCACCAUCCUAUUUCAGUAAACAAUAAAUAAUUUUAAAGUAACUAAACACUAAUUAAAAAGUACAAAUACUGAUAUGCAUAAAUCAUGCAAUACCUUCCCGAAAGCUGACAUUGAAACCUCAGCAAGUGAAACAUUCAUGGGGGUGCUCAACCCAUCUCCAUAAUCCUAUUUAAGGAAAUGAAAUACAUUUCAAUGUCUAAACCAAUUGUAAAAAACACAACAAUUAAUAUACACAAGUAUACAAUACCUUCCCAAGCUCUUCAGCAGCUGAUAUAUCUGUAAUUUGGGAAAUCUUUGAUAAAACAUGCGACUCUGCAAGUGAAACAGUCAUGGGGGUGCUUUUCCCAUCUCCAUAAUCCUAUUUAAGUAAAUGAAAUUAGGUUUCAGUGACUAAACCAAUUGUAAGAAACACAACAAUUUAAAUACACAAGUACACAAUACCUUUCCAAGGUCUCCAGCCAUUGUUAUAUCUGAAAUUUGAGAUAAAGACUCACACUGCUCUAAAUAACCUUUGUCAGACAAAUCCUCCAGGGUCGCAGAAAGCCCACAAACAUCGUUCUCUUUCCAGAAAUGAUUAAUGACCAGUUGGUCAGUGCAAACUUUAGUAACUGUGUAUGGCUUAUCCUCCACAAAAGAUGCUUCUGAUCUCAUCUGUAUCUUAAACAUAACAACUCGUUCAUUCAAAGCUACAUCAAUCUCCUUUGGAACAAUCUUGGCAUCAGCUGCCUCUUUGUCAUUCAUUGAUAUUUGCACAGCUUUUUUCCCAACCAAGGCCACAGCCUCCUUAUCCCACACCAAUAAAGAAGCAUUAUUGGUACAAUCAACCACAUUCAAAAUCAGUUGAUACCUAUAAUAGAUAUAAAUCACAUAUGAAAAAUUUAAUAAACUUGUACAAUACAUCCUAUUAAAUCAUAUUGAAUAAAUUAAAUACUAAUGGCAUUUAAUAUACUUAACCUCUUAUUAACUACUCCAUCAUAUUUGUCACAGUUACCACAAUAAAAUCUUCCAGUUUUCUUUUCCACUUUUCUUGUGCAUUUUCUGCAAGCGUUAUAACACCAUUGUGCAUAACAGUCAACAUUGUCUAUUUUGGCACAGAUCCAAUGCUCCCCAUCCUGCCAAAAAUCAUAACAAAGAAACUGUUCUUUUGUUAAAACACAUAAUCUUUCCUAAAUUUACUCUUCUUAGCUAUUAAAUGCAUUACCUCAACUGUGAAAAUAUCAUCGAGCGUUUUAACAACUAUGUUUCCAUUGAAGAAAUCAUCAGUUUGAACAACACUUUUUUCAAAUGAUAAUUCAAGCCUGGCUGAAAAUGACUGAUUCCCAAUGAUCCUACACAUAAACAACACAUUACUAAAGAAAAACAACAAUUAUAAAAUGCAUAUCAACACUACACAAUCAUGAAACACUUACUGCUUCCUAAAAUCUUCUAUUUCGGGAAUAUCAGAAUUUAGAAAAAUCUGAGAAGCAUUGUAAGAUGUGCAUGCUCGCAUCUCACCUACAUACAAUCAAAGUUAGCUAUUAAUAUUAUCCACAACAUACAACCUGAAAAAAUCAAACAAAAUUCAUACCACGAUAAAAGUUAGGGCGACAAAGCUGAAUAAUAAUAAUCUGAACCCUUGUGUCUGCAGCAUCAGCUUGAUUGAGGAACAUAUCAACAUAGUCCUCCCAUAGAGUGCAGUAGAUUUGAUUGUGGCUGUUAAAUAAAAUCAUAUUAUAAUAACAAAAAACCUACAUAAUGAUUAUACUGUGAAAACUUAAAUAAAGAUUAACAUAUACUUUUGAUCCUCCAACUUUAAUUCAACCAUUUUUGACUCGGAGUCAUUCUUCACAAACCCUUUCCCUGCUAUCACUCCAAUAACAUCUACAAAAUAAUCCAAGGUUACCAAACUGCACAUUGUAGUACCAAUAAACCCACAAAUACCAAAAAAUAAAACACAUACCAAACAUUCCUACUGAAUCAGUAGUCUGAAUUGAAGAAAUAUCCUCAAAUGAUUUGAAUGAGAACUUAUAGUUUGGAAAACACUUUGGAAAUACUUCCGAAAUCAUGGUUUUUGGCGUGAGUUCAAGACGAUGCACAUGAUCUGUCACCUUCCACUUCGUACCAUUUCUCUUGACCAUGAAAUUCAUUAUUUGAUAAACCAAACCUUCUUUAAGUUUGUUUCCAAACAUUUUGGUUAGUUUGUUUGGCACACUCAAUUGUAUCCGUGUUCCCUACAAAUAUAUUAACAUGUGAAUUGUUAUGCAACAGGAAUGCACUGAUUUGCACUGAUUCAGGUAAAGGACAACACUGUACUGCAUAUUUUAUUGGUAAGCAGGGAAGUAUUUUCAUAGACAUACGAAAAAAGUUUUUUUUUUUAAAUGAAGGGAAGUAUUUGCAGGGAAGUAUUGGUAAGCAUAUUAGUAUUUAUUGGUAAGCAGGUGGGUAUUUGCAUAAAAAUGAACAGGCAUAUAUCUUACAUAAUUUUUUUUAAUAUAAUACUAUUUUGUAAUAAAUUAACAAAAUUACACACACACUACAAAAACAUGUUCAUCAUGCACAACACAUUCAAAUAUAACAGUUUGGACAAUAUUUUUAUAAAUGAACAUGCAUAUAUCUUUCAUAGUUUUUUUAAUAUAAUACUAUUUUGUAAUAAAUUAUCUGAUACCAAAUACAAUUACACACACACACUACAAAAACCUGUUCAUCAUGCACAACACACUCAAAUAUAACAGUUUGAACAAUAUUUUUAUAAAUGAACAUGCAUAUAUCUUUCAUAGUUUUUUUAAUAUAAUACUUUAUUUUGGUAAUUAAAUUAUUCUUGUAUACCCAAAUACAUCAAUAUUGGUGUACAGGGGAGCCAUCUUCAACUUUUUUCUAAAAUCAUUUAAAAAAAGUUAACAAAUAUUAGAUCCUUUUUGGUUCCUUAAAAAUGUGAUACGAAAAAUUAUAUCUUAGCAUAUAAACAUUCUAACAUGGAAAAAAUGAUUACAUAUCACUUUAUGAAAAUUCUUUCUGCAAUAACGCAAAGUACUUAUUUUGUACAAAUGAUCAUGUAUUCAACUUUGUCAUUGCAGAAUAGCUUAGCCAUUUCCAAACAAACAUCUUUUUGAAAAAGCAAACAAAAAGUUUUCAAGUAGACAAAGAAAAAGAAAUUUUUGAAAAGUAGUAAAGAUAGUAAAAUGAGCAUACAGAAUAUUCAUUAUAGAAAUCAAACAAAAGUUUUCAAAUAGACAACAAAAGAAUUUUUCGAAAUGCAGUGAAGUUUGAAAAUCAGCAUAAAGAAUAUUCAUCAUUCUCACUGCCACUUAUCAGUGGAAUAGCUCUUUCCAUGGAAAGGCUCUCUGCAGCAAUAUUAGAAGAAAUAGAUUAAAAAUAGAAAACAAAUAGAAAUUUUUGAAGAUUUUUGAAGAAGACAAGAGAAUCUUUAAAGUACGAAAUCAGAUAAAUCAUCUCAUUGCCACUUAUAAGUGGAAUAACUCUUUCCAUGGAAAGGCUCUCUGCAGCAAUUAGAGAAAUGAUUCAAAAGGAAACAUAUAGAAAUUUUCGAAGAAGACAAAAGAAUAUUGCAAGUGCGAAAUCAGAUAAUUUUUUUGGAAAAAAGAAGGAUGAGAAAUAUUACAAAUGUUAAAUCCCAGAAGUCAAGUGUGAAGAAUUAGAAGAUAAUGAAGUGGUAUUUAUAGAAUUUCGAAAACAAGUUUGGCUGAAAAGAAAAUUUUGGGCUCCAAAUUUCAAAUUCAAAAUCGUGCUGUAUAGUUGGAGCCAAAAUAGCAGACCCUCUCUUAAUCCAGUGCACGAUAAUCAAGCAAAUCAUUGGGCUGAUUGCGGGAAAUGGCUGCUGAAAUUUGGGCUCCAAAUUUCAAAUUCAAAAUCGUGCUGAUGUUGGAGCCAAAAUGCAGACCCUCUCUUAAUCCAGUGCACGAUAAUCAAGCAAAAUCCAUUGGGCUAAAGGCUGGGCUGAUUGGCGGGAAAUGGCUGCUGCAGAAAACUCUGCUUUUAUAUUAGUAUAGAUAU
RNAcentral lists this long non-coding RNA (6229 nucleotides) under Salvia miltiorrhiza (redroot sage). RNAcentral's name for it is "long non-coding RNA (SMIL_LNC002271)". Lineage: Eukaryota; Viridiplantae; Streptophyta; Magnoliopsida; Lamiales; Lamiaceae. The record is from RNAcentral.